CAGGUAAUAGUUUAUUAAAAUAGUAAUUUUGGAGAUUAUUGAUAGGUUUAUAGCCUUUUCCUGA
RNAcentral lists this transfer RNA (64 nucleotides) under Scolytus sp. APV-2011. RNAcentral describes it as "tRNA-Pro". The record is from RNAcentral. Lineage: Eukaryota; Metazoa; Arthropoda; Insecta; Coleoptera; Curculionidae.